RNAcentral lists this ribosomal RNA (245 nucleotides) under uncultured Lactobacillus sp. RNAcentral's name for it is "partial 16S ribosomal RNA". It matches the Rfam family "Bacterial small subunit ribosomal RNA", at positions 116 to 354 of the family's 1533-position model. The record is from RNAcentral. Lineage: Bacteria; Bacillati; Bacillota; Bacilli; Lactobacillales; Lactobacillaceae.
CGUGGGUAACCUGCCCAAGAGAUCGGGAUAACACCUGGAAACAGAUGCUAAUACCGGAUAACAACAGAUGAUGCCUAUCAACUGUUUAAAAGAUGGUUCUGCUAUCACUCUUGGAUGGACCUGCGGUGCAUUAGCUAGUUGGUAGGGUAACGGCCUACCAAGGCGAUGAUGCAUAGCCGAGUUGAGAGACUGAUGGCCACAUUGGGACUGAGGCACGGCCCAAACUCCUACGGGAGGCAGCAGGG